GCCAGACUCCUACGGGAGGCAGCAGUGGGGGAUAUUGCACAAUGGGGGAAACCCUGAUGCAGCGACGCCGCGUGAGUGAAGAAGUAUUUCGGUAUGUAAAGCUCUAUCAGCAGGGAAGAAAAAAGACGGUACCUGACUAAGAAGCCCCGGCUAACUACGUGCCAGCAGCCGCGGUAAUACGUAGGGGGCAAGCGUUAUCCGGAUUUACUGGGUGUAAAGGGAGCGUAGACGGCAAUACAAGUCGGAAGUGAAAUACCCGGGCUUAACCUGGGAACUGCUUUGGAAACUGUAUGGCUGGAGUGCUGGAGAGGUAAGCGGAAUUCCUAGUGUAGCGGUGAAAUGCGUAGAUAUUAGGAGGAACACCAGUGGCGAAGGCGGCUUACUGGACAGUAACUGACGUUGAGGCUCGAAAGCGUGGGGAGCAAACAGGAUUAGAUACCCGUGUAC
Molecule: ribosomal RNA, 447 nt
Filed under: uncultured bacterium
Lineage: Bacteria
Description: bacterial SSU rRNA
Rfam family: Bacterial small subunit ribosomal RNA
Source: RNAcentral